CGGAGGGUAGGAUAGUGGCUAUUCCGCCUGGUUUGGGACCAGGAUGUCGGGGGUUCAAAUCCCCCCCUUCCGA
Molecule: transfer RNA, 73 nt
Filed under: Treponema sp.
Lineage: Bacteria; Pseudomonadati; Spirochaetota; Spirochaetia; Treponematales; Treponemataceae
Description: tRNA-Pro
Rfam family: tRNA
About the family: Transfer RNA (tRNA) molecules are approximately 80 nucleotides in length. Their secondary structure includes four short double-helical elements and three loops (D, anti-codon, and T loops).
Source: RNAcentral